AAUAUUGCACAAUGGGGGAAACCCUGAUGCAGCGACGCCGCGUGAGUGAAGAAGUAUUUCGGUAUGUAAAGCUCGAUCAGCAGGGAUGAAAUUGACGGUUCCUGACUAAGAAGACCCGGCUAACUACGCGCCAACAGCCGCGGCAAUACGUAGGGGGCAAGCGUUAUCCGGAUUUACUGGGUGUAAAGGGAGCGUAGGUGGGUUGGUAAGUCAGAUGUGAAAGCCCGGGGCUCAACCCCGGGACUGCAUUUGAAACUAUCAAACUAGAGUGCAGGAGAGGUAAGUGGAAUUCCUAGUGUAGCGGUGAAAUGCGUAGAUAUUAGGAGGAACACCAGUUGCGAAGGCGGCUUACUGGACUGUAACUGACACUGAGGCUCGAAAGCGUGGGGAGCAAA
RNAcentral lists this ribosomal RNA (395 nucleotides) under uncultured bacterium. Its description in RNAcentral is "partial 16S ribosomal RNA". It matches the Rfam family "Bacterial small subunit ribosomal RNA", at positions 360 to 772 of the family's 1533-position model. The record is from RNAcentral.